CUCGUUCAAGGCAAACCUGGCGAAAGCCAGGGGCGCAAAGCUACGGGCCUGUAGACGCUGUCAUGGCCGCCGGGCUGCCGGGG
This 83-nucleotide non-coding RNA is filed under the name Neomoorella glycerini. RNAcentral's name for it is "Moorella glycerini c-di-GMP sequence". It matches the Rfam family "c-di-GMP-I-GGC riboswitch aptamer". The record is from RNAcentral. Lineage: Bacteria; Bacillati; Bacillota; Clostridia; Neomoorellales; Neomoorellaceae.